AGGGAAACCGAGUCUUAACUGGGCGUUAAGUUGCAGGGUAUAGACCCGAAACCCGGUGAUCUAGCCAUGGGCAGGUUGAAGGUUGGGUAACACUAACUGGAGGACCGAACCGACUAAUGUUGAAAAAUUAGCGGAUGACUUGUGGCUGGGGGUGAAAGGCCAAUCAAACCGGGAGAUAGCUGGUUCUCCCCGAAAGCUAUUUAGGUAGCGCCUCGUGAAUUCAUCUCCGGGGGUAGAGCACUGUUUCGGCAAGGGGGUCAUCCCGACUUACCAACCCGAUGCAAACUGCGAAUACCGGAGAAUGUUAUCACGGGAGACACACGGCGGGUGCUAACGUCCGUCGUGAAGAGGGAAACAACCCAGACCGCCAGCUAAGGUCCCAAAGUCAUGGUUAAGUGGGAAACGAUGUGGGAAGGCCCAGACAGCCAGGAUGUUGGCUUAGAAGCAGCCAUCAUUUAAAGAAAGCGUAAUAGCUCACUGGUCGAGUCGGCCUGCGCGGAAGAUGUAACGGGGCUAAACCAUG
RNAcentral lists this ribosomal RNA (523 nucleotides) under Escherichia coli. Its description in RNAcentral is "partial 23S ribosomal RNA". It matches the Rfam family "Bacterial large subunit ribosomal RNA", at positions 670 to 1191 of the family's 2925-position model. The record is from RNAcentral. Lineage: Bacteria; Pseudomonadati; Pseudomonadota; Gammaproteobacteria; Enterobacterales; Enterobacteriaceae.